This 492-nucleotide ribosomal RNA is filed under the name Triticum aestivum (bread wheat). RNAcentral describes it as "partial small subunit ribosomal RNA". Lineage: Eukaryota; Viridiplantae; Streptophyta; Magnoliopsida; Poales; Poaceae. The record is from RNAcentral.
AUGGGGCUUGCCCGUCAGUGUUUUGUCGGCCAUAGUGCUCACGGCACGCGGGUGACGGCCGUUAGGGCGCACGGGCCGUCCCGACCAGGUGAAAACGGAUCCGGCCCUCACUCUGUCUCCCUCGCGCUCACUCACUGUCACUCUCCCCUCUCACUCUCACUUUUCCCCCUCGCUCUGUUUUCCGUGGCUGAGCUCUCCAUCGUCGUCGACCACCUCAGUUCCUCGUCGCCGGCCAGGAUGCCUUCUUGGAAUGAUGGGGAUGAGAGCUCCGACGACAGCAUGGGGGGCAACCGGAUGGACAUGGAGUACUUUGACACACCUGACACCAUCCCUGAGCCACUCUGGUGUGGUGCUCCCAUGGAGGAAGUUUCCAAGUGUACUCUGCACGAUAUGAAGCCUAGGAAGUGUGUUGCUUUUGAAGGUGCUAACACUGGGAGGAGGUUCUAUGGAUGCCCUGUUCAUGGAGGUGUGAAUUGUGGUGUAGUUCAGUAG